ACACUCAUGUUUCCCUUCAGAUCGUACAAAUCUUUCGCCUUUUACUAAUGAUUUCCAUGGAGAGGAACAAUAUUCAGAGUUCAGUCUAAUUUUUAGAUGCCCUGAUGUUCAUACUACU
Centropristis striata (black sea bass) is the source of this 118-nucleotide small nuclear RNA. RefSeq annotates it as U5 spliceosomal RNA. The record is from RefSeq and is a predicted model, not a curated record. Lineage: Eukaryota; Metazoa; Chordata; Actinopteri; Perciformes; Serranidae. The transcript has a single exon.